This 96-nucleotide transfer RNA is filed under the name Streptomyces nojiriensis. Its description in RNAcentral is "tRNA-Ser". The record is from RNAcentral. Lineage: Bacteria; Bacillati; Actinomycetota; Actinomycetes; Kitasatosporales; Streptomycetaceae.
GGCCCGGCUGGUCCGCGGACUGGACCUGGCGCUGCUUCCGCCGGACGCGCCGGCUCCGCCCGGCGAGCCCCUGUUCGCCCGCUGAGCCCGGGCCGC